ACAUAUCAAUAAGCGGAGGAAAAGAAACCAACAGGGAUUGCUCUAGUAACGGCGAGUGAAGCAGCAAUAGCUCAAAUUUGAAAUCUGGCGUCUUCGACGUCCGAGUUGUAAUUUGUAGAGGAUGCUUCUGAGUGGCCACCGACCUAAGUUCCUUGGAACAGGACGUCAUAGAGGGUGAGAAUCCCGUAUGCGGUCGGAAAGGCGCUCUAUACGUAGCUCCUUCGACGAGUCGAGUUGUUUGGGAAUGCAGCUCUAAAUGGGAGGUAAAUUUCUUCUAAAGCUAAAUAUUGGCCAGAGACCGAUAGCGCACAAGUAGAGUGAUCGAAAGAUGAAAAGCACUUUGGAAAGAGAGUUAAAAAGCACGUGAAAUUGUUAAAAGGGAAGGGAUUGCAACCAGACUUGCUCGCGGUGUUCCGCCGGUCUUCUGACCGGUCUACUCGCCGCGUUGCAGGCCAGCAUCGUCUGGUGCCGCUGGAUAAGACUUGAGGAAUGUAGCUCCCUCGGGAGUGUUAUAGCCUCUUGUGAUGCAGCGAGCGCCGGGCGAGGUCCGCGCUUCGGCUAGGAUGCUGGCGUAAUGGUCGUAAUCCGCCCGUCUUGAAACACGGACCAAGGAGUCUAACAUCUAUGCGAGUGUUCGGGUGUCAAACCCCUACGCGUAAUGAAAGUGAACGGAGGUGAGAACCGCAAGGUGCAUCAUCGACCGAUCCUGAUGUCUUCGGAUGGAUUUGAGUAAGAGCAUAGCUGUUGGGACCCGAAAGAUGGUGAACUAUGCCUGAAUAGGGUGAAGCCAGAGGAAACUCUGGUGGAGGCUCGCAGCGGUUCUGACGUGCAAAUCGAUCGUCAAAUUUGGGUAUAGGGGCGAAAGACUAAUCGAACCAUCUAGUAGCUGGUUCCUGCGA
Molecule: ribosomal RNA, 899 nt
Filed under: Cladosporium sp.
Lineage: Eukaryota; Fungi; Ascomycota; Dothideomycetes; Cladosporiales; Cladosporiaceae
Description: partial large subunit ribosomal RNA
Rfam family: Eukaryotic large subunit ribosomal RNA
Source: RNAcentral